UACUAGAGUAGCACUCGCAUAUCAAUAAGCGGAGGAAAAGAAACUAACAAGGAUUCCCUUAGUAACGGCGAGUGAAGCGGGAAGAGCUCAAAUUUGAAAUCUUCAAGGUUCUACCUUGACGAAUUGUAGUUUAUAGAAGUGUUUUCUGUUAGUAGAGUGGCAAAAGUUCUUUGGAAUAGGACAUCAUAGAGGGUGAGAAUCCCGUAUUUGGUCAUUCUUUCUAGCUUUGUGAUACACUUUCAACGAGUCGGAUUGUUUGGGAAUGCAGUCCAAAAUGGGUGGUAAAUUUCAUCUAAAGCUAAAUAUUGGCGAGAGACCGAUAGCGAACAAGUACCGUGAGGGAAAGAUGAAAAGAACUUUGAAAAGAGAGUUAAACAGUACGUGAAAUUGUCAAAAGGGAAGCGUUUGACACCAGUGUUGUUUUUCCGAAAACCAAUUACGAAUGUUUUGUAUUUGAGAAGUUAUGACUUCAUCGGCUUGCUUCUUUCUUUACGAAACUUUCUUAAUGCACUUUUCGGUUAACAAGUCAACAUCAAUUUCUUUUGUUGUAAAAGGGUAUGAGGAAGGUGGCUUUCUUUUCGGAGAAAGUGUUUAUAGCCUUGUGCCUCUGCAAUCGGAGAGAUUGAGGUCUGCAGCGUAGAUCCUUCGGGGUUAGAUACGUUUGUGCUAAGUCAUAGCUUUUCAUAGACAACUUGUUGACUAUGUUAAGUCUUGUAGCUUACUCGCUUAUGCUAUUUUACCUACGCUUAGGAUGUUGAAGAUGUAGCACAUCAU
RNAcentral lists this ribosomal RNA (774 nucleotides) under uncultured Neocallimastigales. RNAcentral's name for it is "partial large subunit ribosomal RNA". It matches the Rfam family "Eukaryotic large subunit ribosomal RNA", at positions 20 to 643 of the family's 3401-position model. Lineage: Eukaryota; Fungi; Neocallimastigomycota; Neocallimastigomycetes; Neocallimastigales. The record is from RNAcentral.